UAUGAAGAACGUAGCGAAAUGCGAUAAGUAAUGUGAAUUGCAGAAUUCAGUGAAUCAUCGAAUCUUUGAACGCACAUUGCGCCCGCCAGUAUUCUGGCGGGCAUGCCUGUUCGAGCGUCAUUUCAACCAUCAAGCCCCCGGCUUGUGUUGGGGACCUGCGGCUGCCGCAGGCCCUGAAAUGCAGUGGCGGGCUCGCUGUCACUCCGAGCGUAGUAGUUACAUCUCGCUCUGGGCGUGCUGCGGGUUCCGGCCGUUAAAAGCCUUAUUUACCCAAGGUUGACCUCGGAUCAGGUAGGAAGACCCGCUGAACUUAAGCAUAUCAAUAAGCGGAGGA
RNAcentral lists this unclassified non-coding RNA (334 nucleotides) under soil metagenome. Its description in RNAcentral is "partial contains 5.8S ribosomal RNA, internal transcribed spacer 2, and large subunit ribosomal RNA". The stretch from base 2 to 120 matches the Rfam family "5.8S ribosomal RNA", at positions 36 to 154 of the family's 154-position model. The record is from RNAcentral.